GUGCAGCGCUUUGCCUGUCCCCUUUAAUUUAGGUCAUGUUCCAAUGAAAUUUCCACAGCGUCACGCAGCUGAGAAUAAUUACCUCCUCAGCACACAUGACAAGGAAAUCUUGGUUUGUCAUCAGAGUGUUGAACACUCAUGCAUAAAAGUUUAAGUAACCUUCAAAUUAAGUUUUUUAUUUUAUUACAGCACAGCUGAGAUUGCUAUGCUAUGGCAGAGGGAAUAUUAAGUGAAUUGAAGAGUGCUUUGGCAUUUUUUUAAGAUGAUAGAUAAGGUAUUUUGGUAAUUUGUUCAGUAAAACGAAUGAAAUGAAAUAUGAAGCUGGAUUAACGUGGUAACUCAUUACCUCAGCGAGAAAUCCAAACAAUACACUCACCAAAGCCAGCUGACAGAUGUGGAGAAAACAGAAGGACUUUGGGUGGAGAAGGGUGUGAGGAGAGGGAACUUCAGAGACCGCGGAGAAGGACCCGUUUGCCUGAAGCCCAGAAUCAGAUCAUCUCCCCGCACUGAUUUUACCGCUCCGUGAUGGUGCUUGACUUGGGUAUUCCGUUGACUGGACUGCGCCCAGUUGAAGGCGGUGACUCUGGUUCUGCCGCAUUGGUCCCGGAGACUCAGUGGGCUCCACCUUGACGGUACCUGACCCGAUAUGUCUUCCAAGGGAAGCUGAGGAUGUCCAAGUCUGUAAAAGCAAGAAAGGCCAAACUGGGAAAAAGUCACCAUAAGCAGCUCUGCCCAUUGUAGGAACUGACAUAACAUCAUGAAUCAAAAGCAAUUGAAUACAAAUAAAA
Long non-coding RNA from Paramormyrops kingsleyae, 788 nucleotides. RefSeq lists it as uncharacterized. NCBI's taxonomy places the organism in Eukaryota, Metazoa, Chordata, Actinopteri, Osteoglossiformes, Mormyridae. The record is from RefSeq and is a predicted model, not a curated record.